CCUACGGGGGGCAGCAGUCGAGAAUAAUUCACAAUGGGGGAAACCCUGAUGGUGCGACGCCGCGUGGGGGAAUGAAGGUCUUCGGAUUGUAAACCCCUGUCAUGUGGGAGCAAAUUAAAAAGAUAGUACCACAAGAGGAAGAUACGGCUAACUCUGUGCCAGCAGCCGCGGUAAUACAGAGGUCUCAAGCGUUGUUCGGAAUCACUGGGCGUAAAGCGUGCGUAGGCGGUGUGGUAAGUCGUGUGUGAAAGGCGCGGGCUCAACCCGAGGACGGCACAUGAUACUGGGAGACUAGAGUAAAGGAGGGGGAACCGGAAUUCUUGGUGUAGCAGUGAAAUGCGUAGAUAUCGAGAGGAACACUCGUGGCGAAGGCGGGUUCCUGGACUGUAACUGACGCUGAGGCACGAAGGCCAGGGGAGCGAAAGGGAUUAGAUACCCGUGUAGUC
This 446-nucleotide ribosomal RNA is filed under the name uncultured bacterium. Its description in RNAcentral is "partial 16S ribosomal RNA". It matches the Rfam family "Bacterial small subunit ribosomal RNA", at positions 338 to 795 of the family's 1533-position model. The record is from RNAcentral.